Misgurnus anguillicaudatus (oriental weatherfish) is the source of this 2482-nucleotide long non-coding RNA. RefSeq lists it as uncharacterized. NCBI's taxonomy places the organism in Eukaryota, Metazoa, Chordata, Actinopteri, Cypriniformes, Cobitidae. The record is from RefSeq and is a predicted model, not a curated record.
AUGUUUUACAUAUCUCAGCGCCCAAUAAUGGUAAGCAAAAAUGAUUAAUAAAUAUAUUUACAUUUUUAUACUUUUAUUUAUUGUAUAUUUAGUUGUUACAGGCUUACAGCAUAUGGUGCGCGAGUCGGACGAUUAGGUUUUGACUCAUGAAUAUUAAUGUUUACGUACCUCAGCGCUCAAUUACCAACAACGUCUGCGUCACCUACUUAAUAUUCAUGAGGCGUGCUGUUGCUGUAUUUGUGCUAAUCAACAGUAUGUCACAAGUUAUAUUUUAAAAUGAUCAUUUUGAGAUAAAGGAGACUUGUUUUAAAAAGCAAUAUGCGACAGGAGUAGCUGGUUUAAGUGACUGCAGGGCUCUGUGAUAUACUCUUCUGGUUUGAGGUUUCCUGACAGGAAUCUUGACAGCUCUGCUUGCCUUGGAUGGCAGAAAGGACAUAAGUUUUUAAGGAUCUUGAGGUUUCCAGUGUUUGCCAAAGUCAAUUCAUGGCCUAAGCAGCAGCUGUAUGAAGUUCCUAAAGCUGGCAAAUCUCAACAUCACAGUGCCUUCAGUUUAUGUACGACUUCAUAGACCAUGAAAGCCGGACUCCUUUCAUCCCUAACAGUGUCCAGAUGACUACUGAUAAACCAAUUGAGAACCACUGCCAUUUUUCACACGUACCUAUGGAUUUCGUUUUUUUUAAAGGACCCAUAUGCCAGUUACAGUGCCAAUGUGCACCAUUAUAAGUUACAGUAAUCUCUGUCGCAGUUGGAAAGAGGCCAUUGCAAUAAGGUGACCAGAUGUCCCUGUUUUCCAGGGACAUUCCCGUUGUUUGGUGUUCUGUCUCCCACAAACCCACAAAAAAUAAAAAGAUGAAAACAAUAAAACGUUUUUUUGUCCCUGUUUUUUAAUUAAUAGAUAAGAUUUCAAUAAUAUUUUGACCAUUGGACUAGGAAAUGUCAUUAUAAAAAUCUGGUCACCUUACAUUGCAAAACAACAUCCAUGUCCUUUCAUCAUAGCUUCCCAAACCACACUUUACAUUGGUGACCCAAUCGAUUGUUUAUACAUUUCAAUUCAUAAAUAUUCAAAACAAUAAGUUUCAAUGAACCUUCUUCAAUUUAAAAACUGUAGUUCUUUUAACAGCCCAAAUUUUAUGAUUAUAAAAAUGAGGGCAUUUUACACAACCUGUCCAUAUUGGUAUAAGGGUCAAUGUCGUGACGUUAAUUAUUUUGUGUCCGUAUGGUUUAAUCAAAUGUACAAGGGUUAAAUUUUCGACUUGCGAAAUAUCGUCCCACAAGCCUGCAAUUCCGGUUGCCGAAUCCGCAUGUGUAUGAUUGGAAGUCAUUGGAAUGGAAAGUCUAGUGUGACCCGCCCUUAAGGGUGCCUGCCAAUCUGUCCAAUUCUGGUCAUAAAUAUGUUGUUUAAUUGUGAUUUUAGAGAUAUCUGUCUUUCACAUAGACUGUAAAAAAAGAUGGAUGACGCCCGUUCGCUCUCUUCCAUUGGUGAAAAGUAAAGCGCCAGUGUCCCGAUACAGCGCUGACAUCUUGGGGCUUGAGUCUGCGCAGUAGCGAUUUCAGGACCAGUCCUGCGCAGUAGUGAGCAGGUAGUAAAGCCGCGAAAGCAAGGCCCCACCCUCGCUCUCGCAGAAUGCGCAUAUAUCACAGCUGUCAAUCAUGACGUGACACCACCGUUUUUAUAGCAUUGGAUAACUAACUAAAAACAAACUUAUUAAAAAAAAACGCUUGAAUUUACAUCAGCGUGAUAAAAACUAGAGUAAAUGACAGAAACCAGCUUCAGGAAAAAGAUAUUUGAAGUGUAAUUAAAUUGUUUAGUUGGUCCCAUGGAAUAACAUGGGGAGGCGGGGUUUAUGACCUAUACUGGGACCAGUCACUGGGGGGCGAUCAAGACGUUUUGGCUUCACUUUUCAGGGCUUGUGCGGCAUGCUUGGUCUUUCACCAUUCAAGUAGAUAGGACUUUAGUCUUGCAUGACUAAUAAAGGAUAUCCCGCACACUAUUAACUCGCAAAAUAUACAAAAUAUUUAUUGCAGCAAUAUCAGAGCGACGCAAUCUCAUUGAUUUCAAUGGAAGCUUGGCGACUUCUGGCAACACGAGCGACAGUGACCGUUGGCAACUGGAUUGGGCGUGUCAAGUUGUGCGACAAAGUUGAGAAAUGUUUAAAGCUCACGUAACACACGCUGUUUCUGCAUUUCUGAUGUUAAUCCGGAGUACCUAUAGAGUAGUAUGACAUCCUUUAUAUCUCUGAAGAGUCUUUAGUUUAAUCAGAUUUAUAAAAGAAAGAUUAGCUUUACCGAAUCUUUCCGAUAACGUACGAAAAAAUGAAGAAGGAGGAGUUACUUUCGCAGGAGGAGCGAGUACGAGUCAUGCAACACUAUACAACACUGUUUUAACUUAUGAUUCACUACAUGUUCGUGUCAUUUAUAUAAUAUGCACGUGACUAUUUCCAACAUAAGACAGAAGUCUUACUUACCGCGUGCAACUCGUCAU